CGGCCUACCAAGGCGAUGACGGGUAGCCGGCCUGAGAGGGCGACCGGCCACACUGGGACUGAGACACGGCCCAGACUCCUACGGGAGGCAGCAGUGGGGAAUAUUGCGCAAUGGGCGAAAGCCUGACGCAGCGACGCCGCGUGGGGGAUGAAGGCCUUCGGGUUGUAAACCUCUUUCGGCAGGGACGAAGUUGACGUGUACCUGCGGAAGAAGCGCCGGCUAACUACGUGCCAGCAGCCGCGGUAAUACGUAGGGCGCGAGCGUUGUCCGGAAUUAUUGGGCGUAAAGAGCUCGUAGGCGGCUGGUCGCGUCUGCCGUGAAAGCCCGCGGCUUAACCGUGGGUCUGCGGUGGAUACGGGCCGGCUAGAGGCAGGCAGGGGCAAGUGGAAUUCCUGGUGUAGCGGUGAAAUGCGCAGAUAUCAGGAGGAACACCGGUGGCGAAGGCGGCUUGCUGGGCCUGUCCUGACGCUGAGGAGCGAAAGCGUGGGGAGCGAACAGGAUUAGAUACCCUGGUAGUCCACGCCGUAAACGUUGGGCGCUAGGUGUGGGGUCUUUCCACGGGCUCCGUGCCGUAGCUAACGCAUUAAGCGCCCCG
Molecule: ribosomal RNA, 595 nt
Filed under: uncultured Actinomycetes bacterium
Lineage: Bacteria; Bacillati; Actinomycetota; Actinomycetes
Description: bacterial SSU rRNA
Rfam family: Bacterial small subunit ribosomal RNA
Source: RNAcentral